UACGUAGGGGGCAAGCGUUGUCCGGAAUUAUUGGGCGUAAAGAGCGUGUAGGCGGCCAGGUAGGUCGGCUGUGAAAACUCGAGGCUCAACCUCGAGAUGUCGGCCGAAACCAUCUGGCUAGAGUCCGGAAGAGGAGAGUGGAAUUCCCGGUGUAGCGGUGAAAUGCGCAGAUAUCGGGAAGAACACCCGUGGCGAAGGCGGCUCUCUGGGACGGUACUGACGCUGAGACGCGAAAGCGUGGGGAGCGAACAGG
RNAcentral lists this ribosomal RNA (253 nucleotides) under uncultured bacterium. Its description in RNAcentral is "partial 16S ribosomal RNA". It matches the Rfam family "Bacterial small subunit ribosomal RNA", at positions 524 to 776 of the family's 1533-position model. The record is from RNAcentral.